AGGUGCAAUUAUACCAACACUAAUGUACUAGAUCCCAUUAGAACUCUGCAGUUAAGUGUACUUGGACGAGAGUAGUACUAGAAUGGGUGACCUUCUGAGAAAUCCUCGUGUUGCACUUC
This 119-nucleotide ribosomal RNA is filed under the name Phaseolus vulgaris (common bean). The record is from RNAcentral. Lineage: Eukaryota; Viridiplantae; Streptophyta; Magnoliopsida; Fabales; Fabaceae.